AACGAACGCUGGCGGCAUGCCUAACACAUGCAAGUCGAACGAGACCUUCGGGUCUAGUGGCGCACGGGUGCGUAACGCGUGGGAACCUGCCCUUAGGUUCGGAAUAACUCCCCGAAAGGGGUGCUAAUACCGGAUAAUGUCUUCGGACCAAAGAUUUAUCGCCUUUGGAUGGGCCCGCGUUCGAUUAGCUAGUUGGUAGGGUAAAAGCCUACCAAGGCGACGAUCCAUAGCUGGUCUGAGAGGAUGAUCAGCCACACUGGGACUGAGACACGGCCCAGACUCCUACGGGAGGCAGCAGUGGGGAAUAUUGGACGAUGGGCGAAAGCCUGAUCCAGCAAUGCCGCGUGAGUGAUGAAGGCCGUAGGGUUGUAAAGCUCUUUUACCCGGGAUGAUAAUGACAGUACCGGGAGAAUAAGCUCCGGCUAACUCCGUG
This 433-nucleotide ribosomal RNA is filed under the name uncultured bacterium. RNAcentral describes it as "partial 16S ribosomal RNA". It matches the Rfam family "Bacterial small subunit ribosomal RNA", at positions 29 to 507 of the family's 1533-position model. The record is from RNAcentral.